GAUGAACGCUCGCUACAGGCUUAACACAUGCAAGUCGCAGGGUAACAUGAGGAAAGCUUGCUUUCCUUGAUGACGACUGGCGCACUGGUGAGUAACGCGUAUCCAACCUUCCCAUAACUACGGGAUAACCCGUUGAAAGACGGCCUAAUACCGUAUGAUAUCUUUUGCUGAUAUCAAAUAACGAUUAAAGGUUUAGCGGUUAUGGUUGGGGAUGCGUUUGAUUAGCUUGUUGGCGGGGUAACGGCCCACCAAGGCGACGAUCAGUAGGGGUUCUGAGAGGAAGGUCCCCCACAUGGGAACUGAGACACGGUCCAAACGCCUACGGGAGGCAGCAGUGAGGAAUAGUGGUCGAUGGGCGAGAGCCUGAACCAGCCAAGUAGCGUGCAGGACGACGGCCCUAUGGGUUGUAAACUGCUUUUAUGUGGGGAUAAAGUGCGUGACGGGUCAUGAAUUGCAGGUACCACAUGAAUAAGGACCGGCUAAUUCCGUG
This 490-nucleotide ribosomal RNA is filed under the name uncultured bacterium. Its description in RNAcentral is "partial 16S ribosomal RNA". It matches the Rfam family "Bacterial small subunit ribosomal RNA", at positions 28 to 507 of the family's 1533-position model. The record is from RNAcentral.